CCAUGNGUAGCGGUGAAAUGCGUAGAUAUAUGGAGGAACACCAGUGGCGAAAGCGGCUCUCUGNUCUGUCACUGACGCUGAGGCUCGAAAGCGUGGGUAGCGAACAGGAUUAGAUACCCUGGUAGUNCACGCCGUAAACGAUGAGUGCUAGGUGUUAGGCCCUUUCCGGGGCUUAGUGCCGGAGCUAACGCAAUAAGCACUCCGCCUGGGGAGUACGACCGCAAGGUUGAAACUCAAAGGAAUUGACGGGGGCCCGCACAAGCGGUGGAGCAUGUGGUUUAAUUCGAAGCAACGCGAAGAACCUUACCAGGUCUUGACAUCCCGAUGCUAUUCUUAGAGAUAGGAAGUUACUUCGGUACAUCGGAGACAGGUGGUGCAUGGUUGUCGUCAGCUCGUGUCGUGAGAUGUUGGGUUAAGUCCCGCAACGAGCGCAACCCUUAUUGUUAGUUGCCAUCAUUAAGUUGGGCACUCUAGCGAGACUGCCGGUAAUAAACCGGAGGAAGGUGGGGAUGACGUCAAAUCAUCAGGCCCCUUAUGACCUGGGCUACACACGUGCUACAAUGGUCGGUACAACGAGUUGCGAGCCGGUGACGGCAAGCUAAUCUCUGAAAGCCGAUCUCAGUUCGGAUUGGAGGCUGCAACUCGCCUCCAUGAAGUCGGAAUCGCUAGUAAUCGCGGAUCAGCACGCCGCGGUGAAUACGUUCCCGGGCCUUGUACACACCGCCCGUCACACCACGAGAGUUUGUAACACCUGAAGUCGGUGAGG
RNAcentral lists this ribosomal RNA (766 nucleotides) under uncultured bacterium. RNAcentral describes it as "bacterial SSU rRNA". It matches the Rfam family "Bacterial small subunit ribosomal RNA", at positions 669 to 1435 of the family's 1533-position model. The record is from RNAcentral.